UACGAAGGGGACUAGCGUUGUUCGGAAUCACUGGGCGUAAAGCGCACGUAGGCGGAUAUGUCAGUCAGGGGUGAAAUCCCGGGGCUCAACCUCGGAACUGCCUUUGAUACAGCAUGGCUUGAGUCCGAUAGAGGUGGGUGGAAUUCCUAGUGUAGAGGUGAAAUUCGUAGAUAUUAGGAAGAACACCGGUGGCGAAGGCGGCCCACUGGAUCGGUACUGACGCUGAGGCGCGAAAGCCAGGGGAGCAAACGGG
This 253-nucleotide ribosomal RNA is filed under the name uncultured bacterium. Its description in RNAcentral is "partial 16S ribosomal RNA". It matches the Rfam family "Bacterial small subunit ribosomal RNA", at positions 524 to 776 of the family's 1533-position model. The record is from RNAcentral.